CGCGACUCGGGUAGAAAUCACGGGCGACAACCCGAGUUGGUUUCCCCGUGUUGGACCGUCGAGCAGCUCUGUUUCAUGCGCGCGGGUAAUGGAACCCGCGGCCUUCACCCCGAGUCGAGACGUCGCGACUUCUUCCUCUUCGUGCGCGCUGGUUCGGCUCCCCGUGUCUCUCGACCCCGAGUUGAGACGUCGAUGCUUCCUCUUCUUCGUGCGUGCGGGUUCAGGAUCCCGCGAGAAGACCGAGCCGAGAGCUUCAACCCGCGUCGUCGAGCUUCAUCUCCUCCGUCGUGAGAAGACCGAGCCGAGAGCUUCAUUCGCCAUCACGGGUUCACGACCUCUCUAACUCCGCGUCUCACUCCCAGAUCUGAGCCGUGGUCUCAGGUGCUCGAGUCUCGUCGUCGUCGUGCUUCCCGCGGCUGGAAUCAGCCUCGCCGUCAACCAGAUCGUGAAGCUCGUGUCUCCCAUGGUGAAGUUUCGCUUAUUUGCAGAUCUAGUCCCCGACAGUUUGCUUCUUUUCACUUGGGCUCCAGAACUUUUGGAUAAUUACUUUUCGACCCCAAAACUCUUGAAUAUGCAGAAAGGCUGUACAAAGUCUUGAACAUUCUUGAGUUCAAUAGCACGAGGCAAAAUAUGCUAAUAAUAGGGCGUGAUAAAGAUGGGAAACUCUGGCUACUUUUUGAAGGACCAAAUAAGUCAAAGUUGGGUGCACAAGGCAUGAAGCAACUGUGCUUAAUAUAGAUACAAAAGCAAAUGUUGUGUCAAGUUAAAUCCUGGAUAAA
This is a long non-coding RNA of Brassica oleracea var. oleracea, 779 nucleotides long. RefSeq lists it as uncharacterized. Lineage: Eukaryota; Viridiplantae; Streptophyta; Magnoliopsida; Brassicales; Brassicaceae. The record is from RefSeq and is a predicted model, not a curated record. The transcript is spliced from 3 exons.